AAACUGAUUUUUCCUUUAGCCAGCAUUACGGUUUAAAACCAUAAACUGAGCUUUUCCAUGCAAUCAGCAUUAGGGUUUUAAACCCUAAACUGAAUUUUUCCUUUAGCCAGCAUUAGGGUUUUAAACCCUAAACUGAGCUUUUCCAUGCAAUCAGCAUUAAGGUUUUAAACCCUAAACUGAACUCUUUUCCUUUCAGCCAGCAUUAGGGUUUUAAACCCUAAACUGAGCUUUUUCCAUGCAAUCAGCAUUAGGGUUUUAAACCCUAAACUGAAUUUUUCCUUUAAUCAGCAUUAGGGUUUUAAAACCCUAACUGAACUUUUUUCCAUUCAGCCAGCAUUAGGGUUUUAAACCCUAAACUGAGCUUUU
RNAcentral lists this long non-coding RNA (366 nucleotides) under Nicotiana tabacum (common tobacco). Its description in RNAcentral is "long non-coding RNA (NTAB_LNC000941)". Lineage: Eukaryota; Viridiplantae; Streptophyta; Magnoliopsida; Solanales; Solanaceae. The record is from RNAcentral.